UCGGUCAGGAUUAUGAAACCUCCAAAUCCACGUUUUCGAUUAUCAACCCCCACUUUUUUAUGAAUGAAUUUAUGUACCUAUUGGUCAGAGGAGGGCCUGUUCUCCCGCCUUCUGUGUAAAGUGAAGAUGAUUCUAUUCGGUGAAAGUUACAGCAGAUGAAUGGAUGAAUUGCACUUCACUGAGACCUGGACCCUCCCUGAGCUGAAUAGAUGUGGAGAGAAGCAGAAAACUGAAAGAUUAAAAUGAGCCAAAAAGCUAGAAACAAUGUCUUCCCUGCAGUGCAAUUAAAGUGCGUUUAAGUACAUUUAAUACCUAAACAUUGCUUCGAAAAUGAUUAUUUGCAUUAGUUUAAAUUAUUUAUAGAAUCACUUAAUUUAUGCAUGUUAAAACAAGUUUUUGUAAAAAUAGAAGACUUUACCAGACUAAUCUCCACAAUGACAAGCUCCUUAUGUAUCAUAUAGGUCAAUAGUUCCAGUGUGAUGUAAGAUUCAGGUUAAAUAAAAAAAACUUGUCUUGUGAAUGAACAUCAAAAGCUGUCUAAUGCAGCUGUAAGAUUUCAUUUUAUACAUAUGAACUAUAUUUUCUUAAUUUCAUGCAUGACCAGUGAAAGUUUUUUGCACAUUUGAUGAAAUAUGUAUACGUAUUUGUUUUAAAGACAUUUUAACAAGGUUUGAUGUUUUCAGCCAAUCACAAAUACAUUUUUGGGGACAAAAUAUGUAAUUAAAUUAAAACGUGAAAAACGUAAUUACUUGUUAUUACUGUUCAGCCUAUUUGGAAAAGUUAAGAAAAACCUCCUAAAUGAAGCUCUGUUUAGAAAAUACCAAGAGUAAACACAGCUUAAUCAGGAAUACUGAAUCUAAAAGUGUUUAAAUAUGAUUUUUUUUUUGGUCACUGCAUUUGUUAAUAUAAAUAACAAUAAAAAAGAUUGAGACAUCAAUGAAAAUGUAGAAACCCUGUUUUUUUGGAAGUUGUGUCUAAACUUUUGCCUGGUAAUAUAUGUACUUUGUGAUGUAUUUAAAUACUUAAUUACUGUUAAAACAUAAAUGGGAACCAAAUGGUAGAGCUGAAAAUUAAACUUCUGACAGGUAACAGAACCUCACUCAUGUGACCUUCAGCUAAGACCUCAUCAUCUGUUGUGUGUGUGUGUGUGUGUGUGUGUGUGUGUGUGUGUGUGUGUGUGUGCGCAUGCCUGCGUGUUUGUGUAUGCUUAUGUGUGUGUGUGUCAUGCACAUGUAGUAUUAGUUAUAAGUCCAAAAUGCACCAAAAUAAAUAGUGAAUUGUGAAUGACCAAGGCUAAAUUGUUUAAAGAUGGAAGGAUGAUUCUUACUGCUACUAUGAUGUGAAAGUCCAAAUUACAUAAUCAGCUGCUAAAAAUAUCAUCAUAUUUAGCACUGUUCACCCAAAUGAUAUAUAUUCCAAACUAUGUUAUAUUUCAGAAGCCUCAAACAGGAUGAAUUACAAAGCAGGGCACUUAUUAUGUGGACCACACCCAGCUCUAAUUCUAUCAGUGAUAGACAAUUAAUUGAUUGGACCUCUUUAUGUGAAUUUAAUAUGCCUUACUUUUUAUUUAAAAAAAUAAAAUGUCACAAGCUGGCCUAGUUAAUCAACUUUCCUUAACAUUAAACUACUGUAUGCCAAAUCUCAUAGUAUUUAUUCAUUGAUCAUAUGAGAUAUAAUAUCGUAAACAACAGAAGGGGCAAUGGAAUACAAAGCAUUCAUUUGAAAGAAAAGAUUUGAUUGAAAGCUUGAUUUAUAAUAAUAAAACACUUACAGAGACCCAGAUAAACAAUGUGCACGGGGCAACACGAAGAUGCAGAGACGUCUGCAUUGACUAGACUCCCUCCAGAAGUUCUUUUAUAAACCUUACAAAAUAAAAAUAAAAACACAAUUUAGCAUUAAAUGCAAAUAUAAAGUGUAAAGUGUAAAAAUCUUGAGUGAGCAGUAAUAUAGCCUGCAUUCGUACCUCACAUCUUCAUAUAUGUGACACAUACGUAUAUAUAAUCAGAAAUAACACAUAUAUCUUUUCAUUAUCACAAAUAUAACAUUUAUAUAUUUUAUUCAGUAUAAAUAUAGAAAGCAGUGAUAAAGUUCUGCGCUUCAUUGGGUCACUUUUCCUCUACGCACUCACUCAUGCUCGCACGCACGCAGGCACACACCACACACACACACACACACACACACGCGCGCGCGCGCACACGCACACACACACACACACACACACACACACACACACACACACA
Molecule: long non-coding RNA, 2240 nt
Organism: Silurus meridionalis
Lineage: Eukaryota; Metazoa; Chordata; Actinopteri; Siluriformes; Siluridae
Exons: 2
Source: RefSeq, a predicted model, not a curated record